RNAcentral lists this ribosomal RNA (914 nucleotides) under uncultured bacterium. RNAcentral describes it as "bacterial SSU rRNA". It matches the Rfam family "Bacterial small subunit ribosomal RNA", at positions 10 to 916 of the family's 1533-position model. The record is from RNAcentral.
AGUUUGAUCAUGGCUCAGGACGAACGCUGGCGGCGUGCUUAAUACAUGCAAGUCGAGCGAGGCCUUGGAAUUGGAGUCCUUCGGGAUGAAGAGUCCUUGGCCUAGCGGCGGACGGGUGAGUAACGCGUGGGCAACCUACCCCAAAGUCCGGGAUAACAGUGGGAAACCGCUGCUAAUACCGGAUGGCUUUACCUGAGGGCAUCCUUGGGUAAAGAAAGGUUACGCUUUGGGAUGGGCCCGCGUCCCAUUAGCUAGUUGGUGAGGUAACGGCUCACCAAGGCGACGAUGGGUAGCCGGCCUGAGAGGGUGAACGGCCACACUGGGACUGAGACACGGCCCAGACUCCUACGGGAGGCAGCAGUAGGGAAUAUUGCGCAAUGGGCGGAAGCCUGACGCAGCGACGCCGCGUGAGCGAAGAAGGCCUUCGGGUCGUAAAGCUCUGUCCUUGGGGAAGAAGGCGAAAGCUUGACGGUACCCAAGAAGAAAGCCCCGGCUAACUACGUGCCAGCAGCCGCGGUAAUACGUAGGGGGCGAGCGUUGUCCGGAAUUACUGGGCGUAAAGGGUGCGUAGGCGGCCUUUUAAGUCAGAUGUGAAAGGCUGCGGCUUAACCGCAGGACUGCAUUUGAAACUGGAAGGCUUGAGUGUCGGAGAGGGUAGUGGAAUUCCCAGUGUAGCGGUGAAAUGCGUAGAUAUUGGGAGGAACACCAGUGGCGAAGGCGACUACCUGGACGAUAACUGACGCUGAGGCACGAAAGCUAGGGGAGCAAACAGGAUUAGAUACCCUGGUAGUCCUAGCCGUAAACGAUGGGUACUAGGUGUAGGUGGUUUCGAUACCAUCUGUGCCGCAGUUAACGCAAUAAGUACCCCGCCUGGGGAGUACGGUCGCAAGACUGAAACUCAAAGGAAUUGACGG